This 4635-nucleotide long non-coding RNA is filed under the name Homo sapiens (human). RNAcentral's name for it is "HSALNT0255201". Lineage: Eukaryota; Metazoa; Chordata; Mammalia; Primates; Hominidae. The record is from RNAcentral.
GCUAUGAUCAUGCCUCCAGAGGCUGAGGUGGGAGGAUGACUUGAGCCUGGGAGGUCCAGGCUGCAGUGAGCUAUAAUCAUGCCACUGCACUCCAGCCUGGACAACAGAGCAAGACUCUGUCUCAAAAUAACAACAACAAAAAAAGAGGCAGCAUAGACUUCAGAAAGGUGGGUCUGGGAAAAAUGAAUCAUAUACCUCUCCAGUGGUCUCAGACACCCCAACAUAGAUACCAUCAGAUCCCCUAAACACAGGCACCCAGGCAGGUGCCAUCAGAUACCCAAAACAGGCUUCCAGGUAACCCCCAAAUAUGUCAGACACUCCACAUAGGUCCAGCAGAUACCCCCAAACACAUACUAGAUAACCCCAAUACAGAUGCUGUCAGAUACCCUCAAACAGGUGCUCAGAGUCUGAAACACAUACCAUACCCUCCCCUAUCCACUUCCACACAGGUGCUAUUUGGCAGAUGUGGAUAGGCCAGAUGCUUCCCCCAGCACCAGCAACCUCUCAAUUGCCAUCAGACACCCCAGUCUUGAGGUUGCCUGUCUAAUCCAAGUCCUGCCACAGGGGAGGCAGUUGAACAGUAACCAGGAGUCGAGCAGAACAGCUCUCACCAAGGUUGGCUGGUCAGCCAGGCCUAGAAGAUCUCCCCAUGGCCAGGCAAGACGGCUCAUGCCUGUAAUCCUAACACUUUGGGAGUCUGAGGAGGGAGGAUCACUUGAGUCCAGGAGCUUUGAGAUCAGCCUGGGAAACCUCGCAUGACCCAGUCUCUAUUUUAGAAAAAAAGAUUUCCCCAAACCCAAUCACUUCAAAACAUGCACAAUAUGUUGUUGAGAGUCCCCAGUUCAGAAGCUGGAGGGUUGCGUCCCCAGGUGGACUAGCCUUCAGUUCAAGUCCAACCUUCAUGGUCCAGAGGAAGGGAGCAUGUUCAGGGAAUUGGAUGUCCCAGAAAUGCAAGACGUAAUUCACCAGGCACCCUACUGCAGCUGAGGUCAGAAACUCUAACACGGGAGUUUAUGAGGGCUCAAUGGUUGGGCAGCUGUGUAGCUGUGGCUUAUGGACUUAGGGGCAUGAACCUUAUUUUUUUUCCUUUUUUUUUUUUUUUUUUUUUUUUUGAGACAGGAUCUCACUCUGUCACUUAGGCUGGAAGUGCAGUGGCACAAUCAUAGCUCAUUGCAGCUUCCAUCUCCUGGGCUCAAGUUGUCCUCCCACCUCAGCCUCCCAAGUAGCUGGGACCACAGGCACACACCACCACGUCUGGCUAAUUUUUUUGUAGAGACAGAGUUUCGCCAUGUUGCCUAGAUUGGUCUCGAACUCCUGAGCUCAAGUGAUCUGCCCGCCUGGGCCUCCUAUGAUGCCAGGAUUGUAGGUGUGAGCCAUCAUGCCCGGCCUUUGAACCUUAUUUCUUUCUUUCUCUUUUUCUUUCUUUUUUUUUUUUUUUCUUUCUUGAGACAGAGUCUCACUCUGUCACCCAGGCUGCAGUGUAGUGGUACCAUCUAGGCUCACUGCAGCCUCCACCUCCUGGGUUCAAGUGAUCCUCCUGCCUCAGCCUCCCGAGUGCUGGAAUUACAGGUAUGCACCACCAAGCCUGGCUAAUUUUUGUGUUUUUUUUUUGUUUUUUUUUCAGUAGAGUCAGGGUUUCACCAUGUUGGCCAGACUGGUCUUGAACUCCUGACCUCAAGUGAUCCUCCCACCCUGGCCUCCCAAAGUGCUGGGAUUACAGGCGUGAGCCACUGGGUCUGGCCAUCAGCCUUAUUUCUAUAGCUAUCUUGGUUAUAGGAAACUUCAGGUGGACACAGCCCUCCCCUAAACAUAGAAACCAACUUUCUCAGAGACAACUAGGAAGGAGAAACAUCUCCCAUCUUUCUUUUAUCCAUCCAACCAUUCUGCAUUUAUGAGUCUUUUUUUUUUUUUUUUUUUUUGAGACGGAGUCUCACUCUGUUGCCCAAGCUGGAGUGCAGUGGUGCCAUCUUGGCUCACUGCAAACUCCACCUCCCAGAUUGAAGCAAUUCUCCUGCCUCAGCCUCCCGAGUAGCUGGGAUUGCAGGCACCCGCCACUACAUCUGGCUAAUUUUUGUAUUUUUUGUAGAGAUGGGGUUUUACCAUGUUGGCCAGGCUGGUCUUGAACUCCUGACCUUAGGUGAUCUGCCUGCCUCAGCCUCCCAAAGUGCUGGGAUUACAGGCGUGAGCCACCACACCUGGCCUCAUUUAUGAGUCUUUAGCAUGGACCAGGGGCGCUAGGAGCUAAGGAGAUGCAAGGAGCUUAGGCCCAGAGCAGGGUUUUCUCAGCUUGGCACUUUCGACAAUUAGGGCUGGAUAAUUCUCGGUGGUGGUGGCAGGGGUGGUCUCCUAUGCACUGGAGGGUGUUGAGCGGCAUCCCUGGUCUCUACCUCCUAGAUGCCAGUGGCUCCCCUGGUCCUGAAAAAAAUGCCUCCAGAUGUUUCCUUGGCUGAGAGCAACUGGCCUAAGAGACAUUCAGACACUUAUCCAGCCUAAUUCCGACUUCCUGGAGGAAGUGGGCCUGGGCUUUGUCUUAAAAGGAUGAGUAAGAGUUAGGUGGGAGAGGGAGUUCCAGGAACAGCGCUGGAUGAGCAAGGCACAGCGUAUGUGUAUGACGUGUAUGAACAGCCAUGAGACUUCAGGGUGACUGGGCCGUGGAGUCCGGAGAACCUGAGUAGUGGGAGAGAAGCGUGGAGGGAUAGGUGGGGUUGAAUUAUAAACAGCCUCAAAGGUCAAGGCCAGGAACAGGACUGUCUGGCGUGGUGUCUGUUCUCUGAAAAGCAUCCCAACUUUAUCGUGGAGACCCACCUUCUCUAAUUACCUGGAGUAUGACUCAUUCUCUGUUCUGUUUGUUUAACUUACUGUGAGGCUGUUUCCUCCGUCUGUCCCACGGACGGGAGGAAACGGGACAGACUGUCACGUUGACUUUGAAUACCUUUAAAAGCAGCUUUGCAGAGGCAAGCGUCUAUGAUUUAAAUGCUAGCUUUGCCGCUUACUGGCUGAAAGACUUUAAAUGACAAUAACAAAAAAUGAAGAGGAUGAUGAUGAUGAUACAAGAUACCAUUGCCCGUGUGUACCAGACAUCAUGCUAAGUGAGUGCUACCCACAUCAUUUUUCUUUCUUUUCUUUUCUUUUCUUUUUUCUUUUUUUUUUUUUUUUGAUACAGAGUCUCGCUCUGUCACCCAGGCUGAAGUGCAGUGGCGCAAUCUUGCCUCACUGCAACCUCCACCUCUUGGGUUCAAGGGAUCCUCCCACCUGAGCCUCCUGAGUAACUGCGAUUACAGGCAUGUGCCACCAUGCCCCGCUAAUUGUUUUGUGUUUUUAAUGGAGAUGGGGUCUUACCAUGUUGGCCAGGCUGGUCUCAAACUCCUGACCUCAAGUGAUCCUCCCACCUUGGUCUCCCAAAGUGCUGGGAUUACAGGUGUAAGCCACCACGCCCAGCCUUUACCCACAUUAUUUCUUUUUUCUUUUUAGGAACAGGGUCUUGCUCUGUGGCACAGGCUAGAGGGCAGUGGCAAAUCAUAGCUAACUGUAGCUUUGAACACCUGGGCUCAAGCAAUGCUGCCACCUCAGCCUCCCGAGUAGCUAGGAUUAUAGGCGAGUGCCACCACACCUGGCUAACUUUUAAACAUUUUUUUUGUAGAGACGAGGGUCUCACUAUAUUGCCCAGACUCCUGAACUCAAGGGAUCCUCCUGCCUCAGCCUCCCAAAGCGCUGAGAUUACAGGAGUGAGCUUCCGCGCCCGGCCCCACAUCAUUUCUUUCACACAAACUCAAAUCUUUCUUGACCUCAAAGGGUUGUCCUGCAAAUCAAAAUCAAAUGAUGUCUCCAGGAGAAAGAGCUUAAUUCCCACCACCCUGAGAGUGGGCUGGAUGUCACGACUCGUGGGCGGAUCGCUUGAGGCCAGGAGUUCGAGACCAGCCUGGCCAACACGGCGAAACCCUGUCUCUACUAAAAAUACAAAAAAUUAGCCAGGCAUGGUGGCAUACGCCUGUAAUCCCAGCUACUCGGGAGGCUGAGACAGGAGAGUAGCUUGAACCCAGGAGGUGGAGGUUGCAGUGAGCCAAGAUUGUGCCACUGCACUCCAGCCUGGGUGACACAGCAAGACUCCAUCUCAAAAAAAAAAAAAUAAGUAAAUAAGAAAGAAAGAAAGGAAGGAAGGAAGGAAGGGAGGAAGGAAGAAGGAAGGAAGGAAGGAAGAAAAUGUAGGGUGGAUGCAGUGGCUCACACCUGUAAUCCCAGCACUUUGGGAGGCUGAGGUGGGUGGAUCGCUUGAGCCCAGGAGUUCAAGACCAACUUGGGCAAUGUGACAAAACCCUGUUUCUACAAAAAAAAAAAAAAAAAAAAAAAUUAUCCUGGUAUGAUGGCAUGCACUUCUAGUCCCAGCUACUUGGGAGGCUAGGGUGGGAGGAUUGCUUGAGCCCAGGAGGCAGAGGUUGUAGUGAACCAAGAUCACGCCACUGCACCCCAGCCUGGGCAACAGAGCGAGACUCUGUCUCAAAAAAAAAAAAAAAAUUAGCCUGGUGUGGUGCUACGAGACUGUAGUCCCUGCUACUCGGGAGGCUGAAGUGGGAGGAUCUCUUGAGCCCAAGAAGUCGAGGCUGCAGUAAGCUGUGAUCGUGCCACCGCACUCCAGCC